This 432-nucleotide ribosomal RNA is filed under the name uncultured bacterium. Its description in RNAcentral is "partial 16S ribosomal RNA". It matches the Rfam family "Bacterial small subunit ribosomal RNA", at positions 29 to 507 of the family's 1533-position model. The record is from RNAcentral.
ACGCACGCUGGCGGCAUGCCUAACACCUGCAAGUCGAACGCGACCUUCGGGUCUAGUGGCGCACGGGUGCGUAACGUGUGGGAACCUGCCCUUAGGUUCGGAAUAACUCCCCGAAAGGGGUGCUAAUACCGGAUAAUGUCUUCGGACCAAAGAUUUAUCGCCUUUGGAUGGGCCCGCGUUGGAUUAGCUAGUUGGUAGGGUAAAAGCCUACCAAGGCGACGAUCCAUAGCUGGUCUGAGAGGAUGAUCAGCCACACUGGGACUGAGACACGGCCCAGACUCCUACGGGAGGCAGCAGUGGGGAAUAUUGGACAAUGGGCGAAAGCCUGAUCCAGCAAUGCCGCGUGAGUGAUGAAGGCCUUAGGGUUGUAAAGCUCUUUUACCCGGGAUGAUAAUGACAGUACCGGGAGAAUAAGCGCCGGCUAACUCCGUG